RNAcentral lists this ribosomal RNA (635 nucleotides) under uncultured eukaryote. RNAcentral describes it as "SSU rRNA". It matches the Rfam family "Eukaryotic small subunit ribosomal RNA", at positions 626 to 1277 of the family's 1831-position model. The record is from RNAcentral.
GCUCGUAGUUGAGAUUUCUGGCAGGGAGUAGAUGCCCGUGUGAUACGUGCGCAGAUACCCCCUGCCAUCCUUCUGUUAACCCUCCAGAUCUUAACUGCUCUGUUGGGAGCCCAGAUAUUUUACCUUGAGAAAAUUAGAGUGUUUCAGGCAGGCUAGCGCCGGAAUACAUUAGCAUGGAAUAAUAGAAUAGGACUUUAUACCUCUUCUGUUGGUCUGAGGGGAUGAAGUAAUGAUUAAUAGGGAUAGUUGGGGGCAUUAGUACUUUACUGUCAGAGGUGAAAUUCUCGGAUUUGUAAAAGACUAACUUAUGCGAAAGUUUGCCAAGGAUGUUUUCAUUAAUCAAGAACGAAAGUUAGGGGAUCAAAGACGAUCAGAUACCGUCCUAGUCUUAACCAUAAACUAUGCCGACUCGGGAUCGGGGGCGAGAGUUAUCCGCCUUCCGCACCGUAUGAGAAAUCAAAGGCUUUGGGUUCUGGGGGGAGGAUGGUCCCAAGGCUGAAACUUAAAGGAAUUGACGGAAGGGCACACCAGGCGUGGAGGUUGCGGCUCAAUUUGACUCAACACGGGGAAACUUAACAAGGCCAGACAUAGGGAGGAUUGACAGAUUGAUAGCUCUUUCUUGAUUCUAUGGGUGG